UACGGGGGAUGCAAGCGUUAUCCGGAAUUAUUGGGCGUAAAGCGUCCGCAGGUGGUUUAUCAAGUCUGCUGUCAAAUCGUAGGGCUUAACCCUGUAAAGGCAGUGGAAACUGAGAGACUAGAGUACGGUAGGGGUAGCGGGAAUUCCCAGUGUAGCGGUGAAAUGCGUAGAUAUUGGGAAGAACACCAGCGGCGAAGGCGCGCUACUGGGCCGAAACUGACACUCAUGGACGAAAGCUAGGGGAGCGAAAGGG
RNAcentral lists this ribosomal RNA (253 nucleotides) under uncultured bacterium. RNAcentral's name for it is "partial 16S ribosomal RNA". It matches the Rfam family "Bacterial small subunit ribosomal RNA", at positions 524 to 776 of the family's 1533-position model. The record is from RNAcentral.